GAAGGUUAAGUUCGGCCCCCGAAGGUUGCAUGGUUUUGCAUGCGAUUCGGCAGCCGAACCUGAGGCGGUUGCUCAUCUAUAAGGGCACCGAGUGGCAGAAAAAGGAGGAGGUUUCUUCUCUCCUUCUGACCUAGGUGAGGUCUUGAUCUCCUUAAAGUAUUUUCAUGGUUUUUCUUCAAAUCUUUCACGGUUUUAAUGAGUUUUACCCUUGUUUUGAAGAGUUGUGAGCUUGAAACAAGGUUUUGGAGUUUGAAGCUUUUGAAGCUUGGUUUCUCCAUAUCUUUGAGUUUGGAUCAUCUCAGCCUUUGUUCUUCAAGAGGUAAGUGUUGAUCCAUGGUUCUGAUGAUGUUUUUAUGAGUUUUGUAAAGGGAAAAGGGAGCUAGGCAUGAGUUUGCAUGAGAUGUGCAUCAUAGGGUUUAUGAAUCCUCUAUGUUUGAUGUGUGUCUUGUGAGCUUGUUUGUUGGAGUUUAAAGUUAUUUGAAGCUCCCUUAGGCUUGUUGAAGUGUUUAUGCAUGUUUUAGAAGGGUUAAAUGCAUAUGUUGAGGUCUGAACAGGUGGUGGAGGGACUGGCAGGCGUCCUUGUGCACGAAACUGAGUUCUGGCUAAACCCAGGUUCGGCCCCCGAAAGUCCAAGUUAGGCCGCCGAACAUGCCUGACUUUCGUCUCUGGAGGAGACAUUCGGCCGCCGAAGGUGCCGCCGAAGGUGCCCUGUCCAGCCUUCCUUUGCUUGUUUUGCAUGCAUAUUUUGAGGUAGUCUAGAGGGGUUUUGGGGAGUUGUUUCUCAGUUGUAUAGAGUAUGUUUGGUGCCUCAUUUGCGUCCUCCAUUGUAGGAUUGGACCCGAGGAACCGAGGUGUUUAGCAGUCGUCGUAGCUGUUUCAGAGUUAGAGGUAGCCCAGAGUUAGCCAAGCAGUGGCUACAGGUGAGUGGAACUAAACUAACUAUUUUAUUUGAGAAAUGACACGAUUCUAGCAUGCUCCAUGCAUCAUACACUGCCAUGUUAUAUAGUAGGUUGUGUGCAUUAGACUUCACGAAUAUGAUGCAUUGCAUAUGUUGUUGUUCCUGUGGAUGAAUGUUGGAUGAUCCUUAGCCCUUGACAGAGAGAGCAGAUACAGAGUUAUGGCAUGAGAUAGCCAUACCAGGUCGCCCCUGGAUAGUCCAGGUCGCUCCUGGUACUAUGAGUGAGACAGCUGGGCUGUCAGAUCAGAGGUAAGAAAAGACCAGGUGAUGACAUCGUCUCCUUGGCACAGAUAAGUGGAAGACCAGGUGAUGACAUCGUCUCCUUGGCACUAUUGGUUAUGUUUGAGAUCAGAGAGAUAAGUGGAAGACCAGGUGAUGACAUUGUCUCCUUGGCACUAUUGGUAUUCUAACAUGUAGUUGAGGGCUAUUGGUGACAAGUUCAUCUUUGAGCUGAUAUGAUUGUGAUGUGAUGCAUUUCAUGCGAACAUGUAAUGAAUGAACUGUUUUCGGUUUCCCUUGUACAUGAAUCCUGUUUUACGUUUCUUGAUGAUGUCAUUCUAGGGCGGAUUGGCUAGCUACUCAUGGUAUUACCUGUGUCUAUAGAGACAAGGUAAGAAAGUAUAGAAGGUAAGAUGGAUCAGAGGCAGUCCUUAGGAGGGGACAGUAUAGUAUUCCCAGAAGUGUGAUAUCAGCCCUACAGGCUCGUGACUUCGUUGGGAAGGUAGUCAGGGGUUUUCUUGCUCUUGUUUGAGAGCAGAAUAGUCAGGUCAGGGAACCAGCCUCAGUACUCAUAGAAAGAAAAAGAGAAAGAGAGUUAUAUGUGUACACAGAGAGUAUAGUUGGCUGACUACGGGUCCCGGCGGCCUUAAGCCGAUCUGGAUCCUAGUGCCAGUGAUGGUUCGGACCGUUACUGAGUGGUACCGGUUUCCGGGUC
Molecule: long non-coding RNA, 1892 nt
Filed under: Manihot esculenta (cassava)
Lineage: Eukaryota; Viridiplantae; Streptophyta; Magnoliopsida; Malpighiales; Euphorbiaceae
Description: long non-coding RNA (MESC_LNC004751)
Source: RNAcentral